RNAcentral lists this ribosomal RNA (497 nucleotides) under uncultured bacterium. Its description in RNAcentral is "partial 16S ribosomal RNA". It matches the Rfam family "Bacterial small subunit ribosomal RNA", at positions 28 to 507 of the family's 1533-position model. The record is from RNAcentral.
GACGAACGCUGGCGGCGUGCCUAAUACAUGCAAGUAGAACGCUGAAGAGAGGAGCUUGCUCUUCUUGGAUGAGUUGCGAACGGGUGAGUAACGCGUAGGUAACCUGCCUUGUAGCGGGGGAUAACUAUUGGAAACGAUAGCUAAUACCGCAUAACAAUGGAUGACACAUGUCAUUUAUUUGAAAGGGGCAAUUGCUCCACUACAAGAUGGACCUGCGUUGUAUUAGCUAGUAGGUGAGGUAAUGGCUCACCUAGGCGACGAUACAUAGCCGACCUGAGAGGGUGAUCGGCCACACUGGGACUGAGACACGGCCCAGACUCCUACGGGAGGCAGCAGUAGGGAAUCUUCGGCAAUGGGGGCAACCCUGACCGAGCAACGCCGCGCGAGUGAAGAAGGGUUUCGGAUCGUAAAGCUCUGUUGUAAGUCAAGAACGGGUGUGAGAGUGGAAAGUUCACACUGUGACGGUAGCUUACCAGAAAGGGACGGCUAACUACGUG